GCCGUGUUCAUUCAACUUACAACUUGCAAAUUUGAGUCGAUUUUUCCGUCACUUUACAUAUUUUAAUGUAUCUGUCACAGCUUUUUUAAAUGCAAAUUCCACUGGAAACAACGGGUCUUCUGGAGGAUACAAGCACUUGGGCUGGUCCCAACCACCUACACCCGGGAUGAGGAGAAGAGGUUUCAUACUCGACAAGCGAUGGCCUUUCCAUUUCUUUCACGAGCAGAAAUGAUACCGAGUUCCAAUGACUUGGGCAUCAGAGCAGCAGUCCCUUGAUCGAUGAGCUCUUUGAGACCACCUGAAUUGCAAGCUCUGUAUGGCCAGUUUUUGUGUGACAAAAUAAAAGAUGAGGAAGGGUUGAAAAUCCCUCCAGCUAAGUUAGGGAUCAUGUAAUUGCCAUGGAAACCAAAUAUAGUAAUGUAUAACAGGUUGUAUAUUCCUGAAAGUGCAAUUGUUGGAUAAAUGUUAAUUUAUAUUGGCACUAAUGUAAUUUUAAGAUUGUCCUUAUUUUUAGCUUUACAUAAACACCAAAAGCAGAGAAUAUUGUUCCCAGUUGGAAUUGUGU
Lytechinus variegatus (green sea urchin) is the source of this 565-nucleotide long non-coding RNA. RefSeq lists it as uncharacterized. The transcript is spliced from 3 exons. NCBI's taxonomy places the organism in Eukaryota, Metazoa, Echinodermata, Echinoidea, Temnopleuroida, Toxopneustidae. The record is from RefSeq and is a predicted model, not a curated record.